RNAcentral lists this long non-coding RNA (537 nucleotides) under Homo sapiens (human). RNAcentral describes it as "HSALNT0051959". Lineage: Eukaryota; Metazoa; Chordata; Mammalia; Primates; Hominidae. The record is from RNAcentral.
CUUGUUGUAGUUCCUCGUGGUAUAAAAUUGAGUUGCUGAUUUGCAACCUUUCUUCUAUUUGAAGUUAUCAAAAUGACCCCAAGGGAAUCACGCCUCCAGGGAGUAAUGCUCCUCUGAAGUCCCCUCCACUUUGACUCUGGGCUGGGUCCUGUGAUUUGCCCUGCCACUGGGAAAUCAGAAAAUGUGAUGCAAGGCUACAUGCUGGGGUUUGCCUCCUGGAAUUCUGCUGCUACCCUGUGAGAAUGCCCAGUGUGGCCUUGAAGAUGGAAGACUGCCUGAAGAGACACGACCAGCUUUCCCAGUUAUCCCACCAACCUCAUGUCGCCAAAUGAGUAAAUCUAGGGAAAACCAGCAGAACAGCUCGACCAACACACAGAAUGGCAUCACAAGCAUGAGCUUCAAAGCCUGUGGCUGUUUGACACUUAAAGCAACCCAGAGCUGCACAACCCUCAAAAAGGUAAUUCUUUUCAGUGCCCAUUUCAGAAGUGGCCAUGGAGGAUAAAAUACAAGGGAGAAACUCCAAGAGGAAAAGUCCUC